ACGGGAGGCAGCAGUGGGGAAUAUUGGGCAAUGGGCGAAAGCCUGACCCAGCAACGCCGCGUGAAGGAAGAAGGUCUUCGGAUUGUAAACUUCUUUUAUGAGGGACGAAGGACGUGACGGUACCUCAUGAAUAAGCCACGGCUAACUACGUGCCAGCAGCCGCGGUAAUACGGAGGAUCCGAGUGUUAUCCGGAUUUAUUGGGUUUAAAGGGUGCGCAGGCGGGAUGUCAAGUCAGUGGUGAAAUGGUGCGGCUCAACCGUAGCAUUGCCGUUGAAACUGGCGUCCUUGAGUGCGAAUGAGGUACGCGGAACGUGUCAUGUAGCGGUGAAAUGCAUAGAUAUGACACAGAACACCGAUUGCGAAGGCAGCGUACUGGGACGCGACUGACGCUGAGGCACGAAAGUGCGGGGAUCGAACAGGAUUAGAUACCCUGGUA
Molecule: ribosomal RNA, 437 nt
Rfam family: Bacterial small subunit ribosomal RNA